AAAACGCACCGGGGGUGCCUGUGCCUGCUUCAGUCCUGGCCUUUUUUUGCUGGGAAAUGGGCAGGGCUGGCUGAGAAAGUCCCUUCGAACCUGAACAGGAUAAUGCCUGCGUAGGGAGUGUGCAUUUCCGUUUCU
Molecule: non-coding RNA, 135 nt
Filed under: Nelumbo nucifera (sacred lotus)
Lineage: Eukaryota; Viridiplantae; Streptophyta; Magnoliopsida; Proteales; Nelumbonaceae
Description: TPP sequence
Rfam family: TPP riboswitch aptamer (THI element)
About the family: Vitamin B(1) in its active form thiamin pyrophosphate (TPP) is an essential coenzyme that is synthesised by coupling of pyrimidine and thiazole moieties in bacteria. The previously detected thiamin-regulatory element, thi box was extended, resulting in a new, highly conserved RNA secondary structure, the THI element, which is widely distributed in eubacteria and also occurs in some archaea.
Source: Rfam by way of RNAcentral